UACGUAGGGGGCGAGCGUUGUCCGGAAUUACUGGGCGUAAAGCGCAUGUAGGCGGGCGACUAAGUCAGGGGUGAAAACCGUGGGCUCAACCUACGGCUUGCCCUUGAUACUGGUCGUCUUGAGUACAGGAGAGGGAAGCGGAAUUCCCGGUGUAGCGGUGAAAUACGUAGAUAUCUGGAAGAACACCAGUGGCGAAGGCGGCUUCCUGGCCUGUUACUGACGCUGAGAUGCGAAAGCGUGGGGAGCGAACGGG
Molecule: ribosomal RNA, 253 nt
Filed under: uncultured microorganism
Description: partial 16S ribosomal RNA
Rfam family: Bacterial small subunit ribosomal RNA
Source: RNAcentral